CCUACGGGUGGCAGCAGUAGGGAAUUUUGCGCAAUGGGCGAAAGCCUGACGCAGCAACGCCGCGUGAUUGAUUAAGCCCUUCGGGGUGUAAAGAUCUGUCAGUGGGGACGAAACUUGACGGUACCCACAGAGGAAGCACCGGCUAACUCCGUGCCAGCAGCCGCGGUAAUACGGAGGGUGCAAGCGUUGUCCGGAAUCAUUGGGCGUAAAGAGUUCGUAGGUGGCAUAUUAAGUCUGGUGUUAAAUGCAGAAGCUCAAUUUCUGUUCGGCACUGGAUACUGGUAAGCUUGAAUGCGGUAGAGGUAAAGGGAAUUCCUGGUGUAGCGGUGAAAUGCUUAGAGAUCAUACAGAACACCGAUUGCGAAGGCAGCUUACCAAGCUACUUCUGACGUUGAGGCACGAAAGCGUGGGGAGCAAACAGGAUUAGAUACCCGUGUAGUC
This 441-nucleotide ribosomal RNA is filed under the name uncultured bacterium. Its description in RNAcentral is "partial 16S ribosomal RNA". It matches the Rfam family "Bacterial small subunit ribosomal RNA", at positions 338 to 795 of the family's 1533-position model. The record is from RNAcentral.